CUCGGAUCAGGUAGGGAUACCCGCUGAACUUAAGCAUAUCAAUAAGCGGAGGAAAAGAAACCAACCGGGAUUGCCUCAGUAACGGCGAGUGAAGCGGCAAGAGCUCAAAUUUGAAAGCUGGCCCCCUCGGGGUCCGCGUUGUAAUUUGCAGAGGAUGCUUCGGGUGUGGCCCCCGUCUAAGUGCCCUGGAACGGGCCGUCAUAGAGGGUGAGAAUCCCGUCUGGGACGGGGUGUCCGCGCCCGUGUGAAGCUCCUUCGACGAGUCGAGUUGUUUGGGAAUGCAGCUCUAAAUGGGUGGUAAAUUUCAUCUAAAGCUAAAUACUGGCCGGAGACCGAUAGCGCACAAGUAGAGUGAUCGAAAGAUGAAAAGCACUUUGAAAAGAGAGUUAAAAAGCACGUGAAAUUGUUGAAAGGGAAGCGCUUGCGACCAGACUCGCCUCCGGGGUUCAGCCGGCCUUAGGGCCGGUGUACUUCCCCGGGGGCGGGCCAGCGUCGGUUUGGGCGGCCGGUCAAAGGCCCCUGGAAUGUAGUGCCCCCCGGGGCACCUUAUAGCCAGGGGUGCAAUGCGGCCUGCCCGGACCGAGGAACGCGCUCCGGCACGGACGCUGGCAUAAUGGUCGUAAACGACC
Molecule: ribosomal RNA, 629 nt
Filed under: Aspergillus avenaceus
Lineage: Eukaryota; Fungi; Ascomycota; Eurotiomycetes; Eurotiales; Aspergillaceae
Description: eukaryotic LSU rRNA
Rfam family: Eukaryotic large subunit ribosomal RNA
Source: RNAcentral